AAUUCGAUGCAACGCGAAGAACCUUACCUGGACUUGACAUCCCAGGAAUUCCCUGGAAACAGGGAAGUGCCCUUCGGGGAGCCUGGUGACAGGUGCUGCACGGCUGUCGUCAGCUCGUGUCGUGAGAUGUUGGGUUAAGUCCCGCAACGAGCGCAACCCUUGUCAUUAGUUGCUACGCAAGGGCACUCUAAUGAGACUGCCGGUGACAAACCGGAGGAAGGUGGGGAUGACGUCAAGUCCUCAUGGCCCUUAUGGGUAGGGCUUCACACGUCAUACAAUGGUCGGUACAGAAGGUUGCCAAGCCGCGAGGCGGAGCCAAUCCCACAAAGCCGAUCGUAGUCCGGAUCGUAGUCUGCAACUCGACUACGUGAAGUCGGAAUCGCUAGUAAUCGCAGAUCAGCAUGCUGCGGUGAAUACGUUCCCGGGUCUU
This 430-nucleotide ribosomal RNA is filed under the name uncultured Methyloversatilis sp. Its description in RNAcentral is "bacterial SSU rRNA". It matches the Rfam family "Bacterial small subunit ribosomal RNA", at positions 948 to 1382 of the family's 1533-position model. The record is from RNAcentral. Lineage: Bacteria; Pseudomonadati; Pseudomonadota; Betaproteobacteria; Nitrosomonadales; Sterolibacteriaceae.